Acanthosepion pharaonis is the source of this 95-nucleotide non-coding RNA. Lineage: Eukaryota; Metazoa; Mollusca; Cephalopoda; Sepiida; Sepiidae. The record is from the annotation of a GenBank genome assembly.
CAUUAAAACACCGCUUCUCGUACGAUCAGCGAAGUUAAGCAACGUUGGGCCUGGACAGUACCUAAAUGGGUGACCGCUUGCAAAUAACAGGUGUU